RNAcentral lists this unclassified non-coding RNA (240 nucleotides) under Hevea brasiliensis (rubber tree). Lineage: Eukaryota; Viridiplantae; Streptophyta; Magnoliopsida; Malpighiales; Euphorbiaceae. The record is from RNAcentral.
UCUAACACUUGCCCCCAAUUCAAAAAAAAUCGUUCUUGCUAAAGUGGGUUAGUUUAUAGUCAAGAAAAACAUCACCUUUACAUACUACAAAGAAUAGGAAGCUCCCUGCUAAAAGGAUUUCUGGUGCAAGAUCUUCUUAAGGAAUUUGGAAUAGUAGCAAGUUUUAGAUGACUUUAGGAAAGCGGCGAGAAAUCUAUUGUAGAUGAACUUGGGAAAACGGCGAGCCAACCUAGGUUUAGG